CUUGAACUUUAUAAGAGGUCCAGCCUGCCCAGUGACUCUGUUCAACGGCCGCGGUAUCCUAACCGUGCGAAGGUAGCGUAAUCACUUGUUCUUUAAAUGUGGACUAGUAUGAAUGGCACUACGAGGGUUAUACUGUCUCCUUUUUCUAAUCAGUGAAACUAAUUUUCCCGUGAAGAAGCGGGAAUAUAACUAUAAGACGAGAAGACCCUAUGGAGCUUUAAACAACCCAGCAAUUACCUAUAAAAAUUAUAAAUUUCAGAAUAUUCAUUUUUUUAAGUAAUAUGUCUGCAAGUUUUUGGUUGGGGUGACCAUGGAGAAUAACAUAACCUCCAUGUUGAACGAAUUCCCUUCUAAGCUGAAAAUUACCUAUUGAAGCAUCAAUACACUGACAUCUAUUGACCCAAUAUAUUUGAUCAACGAACCAAGUUACCCUAGGGAUAACAGCGCAAUCCACUUCAAGAGCCCCUAUCGACAAGUGGGUUUACGACCUCGAUGUUGGAUCAGGGUAUCCCAGUGGCGCAGCC
RNAcentral lists this ribosomal RNA (524 nucleotides) under Rhinella margaritifera group sp. ABGD cluster 36. RNAcentral describes it as "partial large subunit ribosomal RNA". It matches the Rfam family "Bacterial large subunit ribosomal RNA", at positions 1835 to 2560 of the family's 2925-position model. Lineage: Eukaryota; Metazoa; Chordata; Amphibia; Anura; Bufonidae. The record is from RNAcentral.